This 403-nucleotide ribosomal RNA is filed under the name uncultured bacterium. RNAcentral describes it as "partial 16S ribosomal RNA". It matches the Rfam family "Bacterial small subunit ribosomal RNA", at positions 29 to 526 of the family's 1533-position model. The record is from RNAcentral.
AUUGAACGCUGGCGGCAGGCCUAACACAUGCAAGUCGAGCGAGCGGCGGACGGGUGAGUAAUGUAUGGGGACUGCCCGAUAGAGGGGGAUAACUACUGGAAACGGUGGCUAAUACCGCAUACUAUCGGAUAACCCAUAUGGGAUUAGCUAGUAGGUGGGGUACAGGCUCACCUAGGCGACGAUCUCUAGCUGGUCUGGGAGGGUGGUCAGCCACAAUGGGACUGAGAAACGGCCCAGACGCUUCGGGAGCCAUGAGGGGAGAAUAAUGCACAAUGGGCGCAAGCCUGAUGCAGCGAGGCCGAGUGUAUGAAGAAGGCCUUAGGGUUGUAAAGUACUUUCAGCGGGGAGGCGUUAACCGCAGGAGAAGCACAGGCUAAGUCCGUGCCAGCAGCCGCGGUAAUUC